UGGAUAUUAGUUAAUUUAAUAACAAUUAAUUUGCAAUUAAUAAUAAUUUAUAAAACAAAUAUAUCUAA
This 68-nucleotide transfer RNA is filed under the name Bombus waltoni. RNAcentral's name for it is "tRNA-Ala". The record is from RNAcentral. Lineage: Eukaryota; Metazoa; Arthropoda; Insecta; Hymenoptera; Apidae.